GAACUGUGAAGUACUUGGAAUUACAAUCGCAGAGCCCAGGGGCUGGCAGAGUGCUAUUCCCAACUCAAGAGGGUCAAGGACCCAGACACUAGAACAAGCAGACAAGAUAAUACUUGCUAGCCAUCAAAUUCCCACGAGUCAUCAAGAGGAAUAAGGGCAGAACAGAAAGUAGAGAUUCAAGGACUUCUACCGAGGAAUUGGAGAUUUGGGCGAUGGAAUGGGAAAGAAGGUCAACAUCACAACGUGAUGUCCCAGCAUCACAAGAGACAACUGGUGUGAGAUAUGGGAAGACGGAAAUUUCAGUGAUGAUGGAAUCUUCCACUCCACUGGGUACCACACGUGCAUUUCCAUGAGUUUCAACUGCUUCGUUCCUCCAACUAGAAACUUCCAAGUCAUCUGAGGAAUGGCCUCCAGGAAUGCUUCUGCUAUCCUCUGUGCCGGCAUUCACUGUGACACUCAAGUUCAGGGUGAGAGGUCAUGAGGUCAUCACACCAGAAAUAUGCGGCUAGUGGAAGAGCACAGGGGUUUGAAACAUGGAGCCAGAAGCUGGUCUGUGGAAAAUUCUUACAAAUCUGUACUUCAUGGAAGAAAGAAAUCUGAGAAAAGCUUUCCCAAAUUUGACAACAAUUCUAAAAAUGUAC
Molecule: long non-coding RNA, 641 nt
Filed under: Equus caballus (horse)
Lineage: Eukaryota; Metazoa; Chordata; Mammalia; Perissodactyla; Equidae
Description: lncRNA (ENSECAG00000048088.1)
Source: RNAcentral